CUACGGGGGGCACCAGUGGGGAAUAUUGGACAAUGGACCAAAAGUCUGAUCCAGCAAUUCUGUGUGCACGAUGAAGGUCUUCGGAUUGUAAAGUGCUUUCAGUAGGGAAGAAGAAUGUGACGGUACCUACAGAAGAAGCGACGGCUAAAUACGUGCCAGCAGCCGCGGUAAUACGUAUGUCGCAAGCGUUAUCCGGAAUUAUUGGGCAUAAAGGGCGUCUAGGUGGUUUACUAAGUCUGAUGUGAAAAUGCGGGGCUCAACUCCGUAUUGCGUUGGAAACUGGUUUACUAGAGUCUUGGAGAGGUGGGCGGAACUACAAGUGUAGAGGUGAAAUUCGUAGAUAUUUGUAGGAAUGCCGAUGACGAAGGUAGCUCACUGGACAAGUACUGACACUAAAGCGCGAAAGCUAGGGGAGCAAACAGGAUUAGAUACCCCGUAGUC
Molecule: ribosomal RNA, 441 nt
Filed under: uncultured bacterium
Lineage: Bacteria
Description: partial 16S ribosomal RNA
Rfam family: Bacterial small subunit ribosomal RNA
Source: RNAcentral